ACACUCCUACGGGAGGCAGCAGUGGGGAAUUUUGGACAAUGGGCGAAAGCCUGAUCCAGCAAUGCCGCGUGAGUGAAGAAGGCCUUCGGGUUGUAAAGCUCUUUUGUCAGGGAAGAAACGGUGAGAGCUAAUAUCUCUUGCUAAUGACGGUACCUGAAGAAUAAGCACCGGCUAACUACGUGCCAGCAGCCGCGGUAAUACGUAGGGUGCAAGCGUUAAUCGGAAUUACUGGGCGUAAAGCGUGCGCAGGCGGUUUUGUAAGUCUGAUGUGAAAUCCCCGGGCUCAACCUGGGAAUUGCAUUGGGGACUGCAAGGCUAGAAUCUGGCAGAGGGGGGUAGAAUUCCACGUGUAGCAGUGAAAUGCGUAGAUAUGUGGAGGAACACCGAUGGCGAAGGCAGCCCCCUGGGUCAAGAUUGACGCUCAUGCACGAAAGCGUGGGGAGCAAACAGGAUUAGAAACCCGUGUAGUCCCAUG
Molecule: ribosomal RNA, 475 nt
Filed under: uncultured organism
Description: partial 16S ribosomal RNA
Rfam family: Bacterial small subunit ribosomal RNA
Source: RNAcentral